RNAcentral lists this transfer RNA (83 nucleotides) under Chloroflexota bacterium. RNAcentral's name for it is "tRNA-Leu". It matches the Rfam family "tRNA". Rfam says of the family: Transfer RNA (tRNA) molecules are approximately 80 nucleotides in length. The record is from RNAcentral. RNAcentral also lists the same sequence under 2 other names. Lineage: Bacteria; Bacillati; Chloroflexota.
GCCGAAGUGGCGGAACGGCAGACGCGCCCGCCUCAAAAGCGGGUGAGGGUAGCCUCAUGUGGGUUCGAAUCCCACCUUCGGCA